RNAcentral lists this ribosomal RNA (90 nucleotides) under Myrothecium gramineum. RNAcentral's name for it is "5.8S ribosomal RNA". The record is from RNAcentral. Lineage: Eukaryota; Fungi; Ascomycota; Sordariomycetes; Hypocreales; Stachybotryaceae.
UCAGGGCCCGCCUGCUUGCAGGCGCGGCGCUGGCGUUGGGGAUCGGCCCUCACCGGUCGUCCCCCAAAUACAGUGGCGGUCUCGCUGCAG